Long non-coding RNA from Cercocebus atys (sooty mangabey), 407 nucleotides. RefSeq lists it as uncharacterized. Lineage: Eukaryota; Metazoa; Chordata; Mammalia; Primates; Cercopithecidae. The record is from RefSeq and is a predicted model, not a curated record. The transcript has 3 exons.
GUGCUCGGCCUGUGCAGCGAGACCUGAUCCGAGCCCACGCCUUCCUGUGAGCCACACGCCUCAUCUAGGCUCAGAGCCAGCAUUUCCGUCCUCGCCCACACUCAGGAGACCCAGGCAUUUCAAAUAGAACGGAGAGCACAGAACAAAGUCACGGCAUAAGAUCGUGCAUUCCACUUGGAAGAAAUAGUUCACCUACAAAGAAGCAAAAGGAAAAAAUCCUAACGCCACAUUCUGCAGGCACUGGAAGAUGUAUCUUGACAGCUUCAGAAGCUUGGCAGCUGCACCUUCUCAUCCAGACGGCGACUGCCUGGGGUGAUCGGGCUGCCUGGACUCGAUCUGACAUCCCCAGGAUAAGAAGAGGGCCUGAGGGACAGCAAAGGCAAGGACCGCCCAGAUGCCGUGUGUGA